CACAAGGGGUGAAGCCUGCGGUUCAAUUGGAGUCAACGCCAGAAAUCUUACCCGGAGAGACAGCAGAAUGAAGGUCAAGCUGAAGACUUUACCAGACAAGCUGAGAGGUGGUGCAUGGCCGUCGCCAGCUCGUGCCGUGAGAUGUCCUGUUAAGUCAGGUAACGAGCGAGAUCCCUGCCUCUAGUUGCCACCAUUACUCUCAGGAGUAGUGGGGCGAAUUAGCGGGACCGCCGCAGUUAAUGCGGAGGAAGGAAGGGGCCACGGCAGGUCAGUAUGCCCCGAAACUCUGAGGCCACACGCGGGCUGCAAUGGUAGCGACAAUUGGUUUCGAAUCCGAAAGGAUGAGGUAAUCCACAAACGCUACCACAGUUAUGACUGAGGGCUGCAACUCGCCCUCACGAAUAUGGAAUCCCUAGUAACUGCGUGUCAUUAUCGCGCGGUGAAUACGUCCCUGCUCCUUGCACACACCGCCCGUCGUUUCAUUGAAGUGAGCUUUUAGCGAGGUGACGUCUAAUUGGCGUUAUCGAACUUGAGGUUCGUGACAAGGGAAAAGUCGUAACAAGGUGACCGUAGGGGAACCUGCGGUCGGAUCACCUCCUU
RNAcentral lists this ribosomal RNA (600 nucleotides) under uncultured marine crenarchaeote. RNAcentral's name for it is "bacterial SSU rRNA". It matches the Rfam family "Archaeal small subunit ribosomal RNA", at positions 880 to 1478 of the family's 1478-position model. Lineage: Archaea; Thermoproteati; Thermoproteota. The record is from RNAcentral.